Molecule: ribosomal RNA, 301 nt
Filed under: uncultured bacterium
Lineage: Bacteria
Description: partial 16S ribosomal RNA
Rfam family: Bacterial small subunit ribosomal RNA
Source: RNAcentral
CAGCAGCCGCGGGAAAACGAAGGGGGCUAGCGUUGUUCGGAUUUACUGGGCGUAAAGGGCGCGUAGGCGGGCUGAUAAGUCAGGGGUGAAAUCCCAAGGCUCAACCUUGGAACUGCCUUUGAUACUGUUUGUCUUGAGUUCGAGAGAGGUAAGUGGAACUGCGAGUGUAGAGGUGAAAUUCGUAGAUAUUCGCAAGAACACCAGUGGCGAAGGCGGCUUACUGGCUCGAAACUGACGCUGAGGCGCGAAAGCGUGGGGAGCAAACAGGAUUAGAUACCCCGGUAGUCCCUGUCUCUUAUAC